Molecule: long non-coding RNA, 1453 nt
Filed under: Salvia miltiorrhiza (redroot sage)
Lineage: Eukaryota; Viridiplantae; Streptophyta; Magnoliopsida; Lamiales; Lamiaceae
Description: long non-coding RNA (SMIL_LNC000419)
Source: RNAcentral
CUGGUUUCAGUUUUCUGUAAUUUCAAUUCAGUUUUUCCCUUGUAAUCUAAACUCCUACAUUUCUGUUUCAUUGUACUACGCCCGCAAGCUUGUAAUCCAACAGAUUCUUUAUCCAAGAAGCUAGUUGAUGAAAUCUACCUGACCAUUGACACAACAUACAGUUUGCAGUCUACUGCAGCUGAUAUAAAAAGCGUAGCCUCGACAUGGAGGCACUCGAUAUGCUGUGGCAGAAUAAGGGUAAUCUGCAUUUUAAUCUAAAAUUCUCCACUACUUUAUCUCAAUUCUGAUCCUUCUUUGCUAGCAUCUUGUUCAUGAACUUGUCCUUUGUGGUUUGUAUUAAAUCCGUGAGCAUAACUUGUGGAAUGCCACUGAUACCUUUUUCUACUAAUUAGAAUUCACAUCGUUACUUGGAUAGUUGAUAAAAUAUGGAUUGUGGAGAAACAUGAGACGUGAAUUGUUAUUUAUAGUUUCAUGAAUAUUGAAAGAUGUUAUGUUAUCAUAACUCCAUCUGUGGUGGUUGUAAAUUUAAUUUGUUUAAUUGAUCUGGUGGUAUUUGAUGGUUCAUGUGGAAUAUGGAAAAGGAUUUGAUCCUUUAACAAUUAUUACUAUGAGUAUUGAGUAUCUUUUAGUCAGGUUGCAAUAGUUUGAAAGUCAGAUUGGGACGAGCACCCAUAUUUUGGUGAAAUAUGUGAGCUGGUUAGUUGUUGAUCCAAGAGAAAUGAUGCAGAACAUGUGUCCUGAUUCAAUGUCUAAACUAGUUUCAUCAUUAUUGAUCUUCCCAUAUUUCUUGUUCUGUCGGCCCUCUCAAUUGGCACAAGACUGAUUUUGAGCCAGGAAGUUUUGGAAGAGAGAUGUAAUGAUUUUUUUAUUAGCUUAUGUGUUGAUUGCUUUUCAAAAUUAAUUGUAAGGUGUUGAUCAAAUCUGGCAUGACCUUGAUUCGCUUGAUGUCCAUAUGUGCUUAAUCAUUUUGAUAGCUUUAAUGAAACACACAAAUUCAUUGUGUGUAAGUGAGUGCAAAUAUGUAAUCAAUUAGAGGCCUAGAACCAGCCAUUCAUACCAAACUGAAGCAGUGUUUUCCAGUUCUUAAAGUCUGUUAUGAAAUUGUAGUUGUAGAUAUUUAAUUCGUAAUAAAUCUCCUCAUUUGCAGACUAAGUUGGUCUUAUCUUAUAUCUACUGUUAUUUUUUGGGAAUUGUGAUAUCAAUGGCUUAAUGUCAGCUCUGACGUUCUUAUUUGAUCUUAAGCUCAAAGGCAACUCUGAUAGGCUUAAUGUCAGCUCUGAUUCUCUUCCCAGGUAUUAAGCUUAAUUUUAACCCUAAUAUUCCUUUCUUGUAUCGGCACUGUGUGUGUAUCUGAUCUUUUCUCAUGUAUGUUGAGAUUAAUGAAAGAAAUGUUGAAAGGCCAAAUGUCCUCAAAACUUACCUUGAUGACAUAGGUAGGAAGGCCUUGAGAUCU